Molecule: ribosomal RNA, 279 nt
Filed under: uncultured bacterium
Lineage: Bacteria
Description: partial 16S ribosomal RNA
Rfam family: Bacterial small subunit ribosomal RNA
Source: RNAcentral
UGCCAGCCGCCGCGGUAAUACGGAGGGUGCAAGCGUUAUCCGGAAUCACUGGGUUUAAAGGGUGCGUAGGCGGCUAAAUAAGUCAGAAGUGAAAGCCUGCGGCUUAACCGUAGAAUUGCUUUUGAUACUGUAUAGCUUGAAUUAGGUUGAGGUUGGCGGAAUGUGACAUGUAGCGGUGAAAUGCAUAGAUAUGUCAUAGAACACCAAUUGCGAAGGCAGCUGACUAGACCUUAAUGGACGCUGAUGCACGAAAGCGUGGGGGGAGAACAGGAGUGGAUA